CCAGCAGCCGCGGUAAUUCCAGCUCCAAUAGCGUAUAUUUAAGUUGCUGCAGUUAAAAAGCUCGUAGUUGGAUUUCGGGUGGGGCCUGCCGGUCCGCCGUUUCGGUGUGCACUGGACGGGCCCACCUUAGUGCCGGGGACGGGCUCCUGGGCUUGACUGUCCGGGACCCGGAGUCGGCGAGGUUACUUUGAGUAAAUUAGAGUGUUCAAAGCAGGCCUACGCUCUGAAUACAUUAGCAUGGAAUAACACGAUAGGACUCUGGCCUAUCCUGUUGGUCUGUAGGACCGGAGUAAUGAUUAAGAGGGACAGUCGGGGGCAUUCGUAUUUCAUUGUCAGAGGUGAAAUUCUUGGAUUUAUGAAAGACGAACUACUGCGAAAGCAUUCGCCAAGGAUGUUUUCA
This 400-nucleotide ribosomal RNA is filed under the name uncultured eukaryote. RNAcentral's name for it is "SSU rRNA". It matches the Rfam family "Eukaryotic small subunit ribosomal RNA", at positions 567 to 972 of the family's 1831-position model. The record is from RNAcentral.